Long non-coding RNA from Arachis duranensis, 703 nucleotides. RefSeq lists it as uncharacterized. The transcript is spliced from 3 exons. NCBI's taxonomy places the organism in Eukaryota, Viridiplantae, Streptophyta, Magnoliopsida, Fabales, Fabaceae. The record is from RefSeq and is a predicted model, not a curated record.
CAUAAGGAUUGGAAGGGACAACAAGGGUAAUAUCUUUGUGCUGGAAAAAAUUGAAGAUAUAAGUCGUAAUCCUCAAGGAAGAGGCGAAACACCAAGAACCAAAGGACAAGGUGGCAGCGAUAGCGACGGUGAGGAGGCAAAGGAUGUUGGAAUGCAAAAAGGAAAACAUGGAGAAGAAGCCCUUCAUGGACAUACAAACUGAGACCAAGAGAUUCAGGCAAACAACACUUGAUUUGAUUUCCAUUUUUAGCAUUCAGCAACAAUCGUCACAAAUCAGUAACAACAGCAAGAAAAUUUCAACAAAAGCUUCAGGAAUUAAAAAAAGAGCAACAGCACAAAAUCAAUUAUUUGAUUUUUCAUUAACCCAGUCACAGUUUCACAUUCAAAAAUCAACAAGGCCACAUUCAAAAAUCAACAACAGGACAUAAAAGGAAGAGAAGAACCGAAGAAGUGAAGACAGUGCCGCUAACCUUCGACGGCGACAUGGACGGCGCCCGGCGAGAUGACAGCGAGUGGUGACACAGCGGCGAGCUGCUCCAAGUUCGAGAGAAUCCAGAGAGGACGGCGACAGGGGGAAGGAGGACGCCGAACUAUGAUAGAGGAAGCAGAGGCGCCGACAGCACGGACGGCAGCGGCACCGCGGCAGACCCGUUGCAGGGAGAACUUAGGGUUUUGGUAGGGUGAGUUGGGAAGGUGCUAUGGG